GGUCCUCCUGCGCGCCUAGGACCAAGGUGACUGCUCUGUCAUAGAUGUCCCCUAGCCUGGCAUGAAGUAAGAGUGAUUGGUGCUGAGGUGCACGGAGCGAUCGUAGCAUUCCAGUGAACUGCCUUCAUUUGACACACAUGGACCUAAAUAGAGGAUGAUGUUGAGUAUUUUCCCUCUACGGAAAAGAUGGGCUGCAAAACUACUCCCGGUGCCUUGCUGCUUGGAAAUUCUGCUCACCGAGCCGUCUUCAGCUACCCUAUUUCUUUCUUUUGUGCAGUGUGGAGGAGCCUACAGAAGAACUGAGCGCCUGAAGCAAACUCAGGACGUGAGGAGGAUUGAAAAGGUCUUUCCCCAGCCACGGUCUCGAGCCGGGCCGCAGGGUGGAGCAGGCAUGUGUAACCAGCACAUCUGGCAGAGACUGAAAUGGAGGUGAAUCCCCAAGGACAGAAAUUCAAUUUCCUUCUGACUCGGAUUGAGACCGACUCCUUCACAAGGCUGCUGUCGUGGAAGGCGACCUAGGCAGCGGAAUGAAAGCAAAGUGCUCGCUCCUUUGAACAGUACCUGGGAGCAGAGCAGGAGAGAAUCGCACACAGUGUCUGUCUGCUCUGUGCAGGUCACUUCCCAGCAGGGCUCCGACACCGUCCCCAAGACAGCAAGUUCAGGGCCCCAGCCCUUGUGUAGACCUGAGUUGGAAUCCCUUUUGCAGCGUGCUGACCUGGGUCAUAGCGAGGACUUACCUCCCCUAAAACUCUGCUUCCCCCAGUAAAACUGCAACUCGGAAAUAAAGUCUUUGUCGGUUCCCCGGUGAAGAGCCUGAGAACAGAAGGGUGGCGUGAGGGACCCGGCCCACAGUGUCCCCUCCUCUGCUGGCCCAUGCACCAGAUGUGGCUCCGACACACAGCUGGUGGCCAGGAGGGAGCUGGGGUCUCAGGGAAGGAUUCGGGCACAGAGGGACCCUGGAAUUGUCUGCCACUCACUGAGUGACAGUUUCUGUGUUUGAAAAAAAUUUGUCUGACUGAAACUAGUUCUUUCCUGCCGCUUCUUUGGUUUCAGUUUGUUUAAGAAACUGUUUAGAUGAAGGAAAGGUUUGAACAGCCUUCUAGCUGGAGCAUUUGGGUUUUCAACUCUAGACCAAAUUCAUUUAGAAGAGUACACAGGCUCUUCUACAAGGUUAUGUAUUUUAUUAAUGGUAAAAUGUUAUCAAAGCAGCCCAAUCCAAAUGACUGUGGAUUUUUAUAUUUGAAGAGAUGAUCUUGCUAAUGGGUCCAUGGGCUUUCUUUUCUCCAGACAGCUUUUCCCUUUUGAAACUUACACACUUGUGACUCUAUGAUAAUUCACCCAUUAUUUUAUAUUCAAAUGUAAGCUGACAUUCAGAUGGCACUCUGAAUCGUGUUAAGUAAACACUCUUCCAUCUCUAAGAAUUUUAUCUGGGGAUAAAUGCUGAAUUUUACUUACAUGGAGACAGUCUCUCCAGCUAUAUCAUUACAUUUCCCUCCUUCCUUUUUUCCUCUUUUCUAUUGUCCUUUGUUGCACAUUUAUAAUUUCUUUAUUCAUCUAAUUUAAAAUAUGUAUCGUUUGUCUCCUUUUGCCAGAGAAUCAGAUUUUAGAUUUAUUGAUUACUUGUACUCCUUCUGUUUGCAGUGUUAUUAAAUUUGUCAUAACUACUAACAUAUUCUUUCUUACUAAUUUUCAGUUUUAUGACUCAAAAAUGAAAUGAUUAAUUCAUAUCCUUAUUAAUAUAAACUCCAUUGCAUAAAAUUUAAAA
Cavia porcellus (domestic guinea pig) is the source of this 1765-nucleotide long non-coding RNA. RefSeq lists it as uncharacterized. The record is from RefSeq and is a predicted model, not a curated record. The transcript has 5 exons. NCBI's taxonomy places the organism in Eukaryota, Metazoa, Chordata, Mammalia, Rodentia, Caviidae.